This 484-nucleotide ribosomal RNA is filed under the name uncultured bacterium. RNAcentral's name for it is "bacterial SSU rRNA". It matches the Rfam family "Bacterial small subunit ribosomal RNA", at positions 28 to 507 of the family's 1533-position model. The record is from RNAcentral.
GAUGAACGCUAGCUACAGGCUUAACACAUGCAAGUCGAGGGGUCUUGAGGAAGCUUGCUUUCUAGAGACGACCGGCGCACGGGUGAGUAACGCGUAUCCAACCUGCCCUUCAUAUUGGGAUAGCCUUCCGAAAGGAAGAUUAAUACCGAAUAACAUAGCGAGAUUGCCUGAUUUCUCUAUGAAAGCUCCGGCGAUGAAGGAUGGGGAUGCGUUCCAUUAGGUAGUAGGCGGGGUAACGGCCCACCUAGCCGACGAUGGAUAGGGGUUCUGAGAGGAAGGUCCCCCACACUGGAACUGAGACACGGUCCAGACUCCUACGGGAGGCAGCAGUGAGGAAUAUUGGUCAAUGGACGGAAGUCUGAACCAGCCAAGUCGCGUGAAGGAUGAAGGUUCUAUGGAUUGUAAACUUCUUUUGUCUGAGGGUAAAAAGCGGACGUGUCCGUUCUUGCAAGUAUCAGACGAAUAAGCAUCGGCUAACUCCGUG